GGUUCAAUGGUCUAAUGGUUAUGAUUUCUGUCUCACAUUAUGAUGUGCACAGAAGGUUCCCAGUUCGAUCCUGGGUUGAACCA
RNAcentral lists this transfer RNA (83 nucleotides) under Pleurotus eryngii. RNAcentral's name for it is "tRNA-Val". It matches the Rfam family "tRNA". From Rfam's summary of the family: Transfer RNA (tRNA) molecules are approximately 80 nucleotides in length. The record is from RNAcentral. Lineage: Eukaryota; Fungi; Basidiomycota; Agaricomycetes; Agaricales; Pleurotaceae.